RNAcentral lists this transfer RNA (83 nucleotides) under Lentinula lateritia. RNAcentral describes it as "tRNA-Lys". It matches the Rfam family "tRNA". Rfam says of the family: Transfer RNA (tRNA) molecules are approximately 80 nucleotides in length. The record is from RNAcentral. Lineage: Eukaryota; Fungi; Basidiomycota; Agaricomycetes; Agaricales; Omphalotaceae.
GCCUGCCUAGCUCAAUCGGAUAGAGCGUCAGACUUUUACGGUGGGGAAUCUGAAGGCUGCGAGUUCGACCCUCGCGGUGGGCU